ACACAGAGUGGCCAACUUUAAGGUACAAGGUUUGAUCUCUGAACACCUCCCACUCCAGAGGUUUAAUAAACUUUAUUAUGCUCAGAAGAAGUGUAUAAUGCUUCAUUUACUUUCCAUAAUGCAGGCAAGCACGAUAAGUCACAACGCUAACCUAGACAGAAAAACUCUUCACGGCUGGAGCCCCAUCGUUUAAAUUACGAGCUUCAACCAUGGCACACCUUGUAAAAUUACCUAUAAUGUUUCCGUUCUUUUCUUCAGGUAUGCUUGUGAUUUGCUUUUUGUUUUGGUUAUCUAAAACCAGAAGCAGAAAUUGUGGUAUUUAUAGUGCUAGAUAGUUCACGAAGUUGACAAUCCACAUGAUGUGAAUGAAAUUCUCUUAUAAACCUGUCUGCCUUUGUGAUAUUCUGCUGUGUCUGUUCUACUAGGGUCGCUUUACUACCGAUAUCACCUACUAGUUACUGAUAUUUGUGGUCAAUAAGGUGCCGCAGCACUAGCUCGUAUUCUCGUCCAGUGGUCAGAUUACCGGGACAGAACUGAAAAUUUAUCAUUAGCACGUCGACGAGCCUU
This 567-nucleotide long non-coding RNA is filed under the name Malus domestica (apple). Its description in RNAcentral is "long non-coding RNA (MDOM_LNC009121)". The record is from RNAcentral. Lineage: Eukaryota; Viridiplantae; Streptophyta; Magnoliopsida; Rosales; Rosaceae.